This 84-nucleotide transfer RNA is filed under the name Hannaella oryzae. RNAcentral's name for it is "tRNA-Leu". It matches the Rfam family "tRNA". Rfam says of the family: Transfer RNA (tRNA) molecules are approximately 80 nucleotides in length. Lineage: Eukaryota; Fungi; Basidiomycota; Tremellomycetes; Tremellales; Bulleribasidiaceae. The record is from RNAcentral.
GCAAGCAUGCUGGAAUCGGUAAACAGAUCUCAUUUAAGUCGAGAUGUCUAUAGUGGCUUAAGGGUUCAAGUCCCUUUGUUUGUA